GUUCUCCACAAAAAGUAUUUCAGUGUUCCUGCUACUGUCUGGAGUCUGGGUAUAGUCCUUUAUGAACUGUCCAUGGAGAAUUGCCCUUCAUGAGCGAUGAGGAGCUUAUUGAUGGACAACUGGACUUCCAUUCUGAUGUGUCUGAUGAGUGCUGCUAUCUGAUUCACCUCUGCCUGGAACAGGACCCUUCUUCUCGGCCAGAUUUCAGGAAAAUCCAGACCCACAAGUGGUUUAAGAAGGAAAGUCGGGACUCGGUCCAAGACCCCCCUGCUGACUAGGAUCUGGUAACGGCAGGCAGGCAGGCAAUCACCCCCACAUACUCCCAGUGACCGACUCUGUCAGACCUUCUUAUGUUAGUCUCCUCCUGCAGGGUCGGUGUACUCCAGCUGAUUCUCUAAUGGGAGCUGUUGUUCUGACCACUUCACACUUAGAAAGAUCCCAGAAUGCCUCUCUGUCAUCAGCACAAGGCCUGAGUGCUCAACUGUUGAAGCACAAGGUCAUGCUGUGGCAGAUGUUUGCUGCUGUUCAAAGUCAAAAAAGUCAAAGUCAAAGAAGCUUUGUCACUUCAACCAUAUAUAGCAGAUGCAGUACACAGUGAAGUGAAACAACAUUCCUCCUAGACCAGAGGUGCUACACAGAACACAGACAAAGUACAGUGAUGGAGACAAACAUAGAGCUAUAACACAGAGAUAAAAAAAAAAACUAAACUAUACUUAAGGUGCAAUAAAAACUAAACUUUACUUAAGAAAUAAAACUAGACAUAAAACAGAAGUGCCCAGGAUGACAAGACAAGACAGUGCAGACAAACAACAUAUAGACUGACUUUUGUGCAAAUAAGUGUAUACAGUGAGUGCAAAUAUUGACACAUGUAAACUGGAUUAAUAUAAAAAAUGUAAAGUGAAAUGUAGUGACAUGUGCGUGCAAACAGGACAAUUUAGUGCGUGUGUGAGUACGUGUCCAGCACAGUUCAGUUCUCCUGUUGAGAUCAGAUCUUGGUUGUGUGUGUGUGUGCACGCAAGUGCGUGUGUGUGUCCAGCUCAGCUCAGUUCUCUGUUGAGAUACCUGAUUGCCUGGGGGAAGAAACUGUUUAACAGUCUGGUUGUGCGGGUCCGAAUGCUCCGGUACCUCUUUCCGGAUGGCAGAAGGGUGAAGAGUGUGUGAGGGGUGUGUGGGGUCAUCCACAACGCUGUUAGCUUUGCGGAUGCAGCAUGUGGAGUAAAUGUCUGUGAUGGAGGGAAGAGAGACUCCGAGGAUCUUUUCAGCUGUCCUCACUAUCUGCUGAAGGGUCUUGCGAUCCAAGAUGGUGCAGUUCCCAAACCAGGCAGUGAUGCAGCUGCUCAGGACACUCUCGAUGGUCCCUCUGUAGAAGGUGGUCAGGAUGGGAGGUGGAAGAUGAGCCUUCCUCAGCCUUCACAGGAAGUAGAGAUGCUGCUGGGCUUUUCUGGUGAUGGAGCUGGUGUUGAGUGACCAGGUGAGGUCCUCCGCCAGGUGAACACCAAGGAAUUUGCUGCUCUUGACGAUCUCCACGAUGUUCAGUGGAGAAUGGUCAAUCUUUGUUCUCCUGAAGUGAACAACCACCUCUUUAGUCUUGUCAACGUUCAGAGACAGGUUAUUGACUUUACACCAGGCUGCUAGUUGUUGCACUUCCUCUCUAUAUGCUGACUCAUCAUUCUUGCUGAUGAGAUCCACCACAGUCGUGUCAUCGGCGAACUUGACUAUGUGAUUGGAGCUGUGCAUUGCUGCACAUUCGUGAGUCAGCAGAGUGAACAGCAGUGGACUGAGCACACAGCCCUGAGGAGCUCCAGAGUUCAGUGUGGUGGUGCUGGAGGUGCUGUUCCCGAUCCGGACUGACUGAGGUCUUCCAGUCAGGAAAUCCAGGAUCCAAUUGCAGAGGGAGAUGUUGAUGCCCAGCAGACUCAGCUUCUCGAUCAGGUGCUGAGGAAUGAUCGUAUUGAAUGCUGAAUUGAAGUCAAUGAACAGCAUUCGUAGGUAAGUGUCUUUAUUGUCCAGGUGUGUGAGGGCCAGAUGGAGGGUUGUGGUGAUGGCAUCAUCUGUGGAGCGAUUUGGACGAUACGCAAACUGCAUGGGGUCAAGUGAAGGUUGCAGCAGGUUCUUAAUGUGCCUCAUAACGAGCCUCUCGAAGCACUUCAUGAUGAUGGGUGUGAAUGCAACGGGACAGUAGUCGGUAAGACAGGACACUGGAGACUUCUUUGGCACGGGGAUGAUGGUGGUUGACUUCAGGCACGUUGAAACGACGGCGCUGCUCAAGGAGAUGUUGAAGAUGUCCGUGAAGACAUCUACUAGCUGUUCUGCACAUUCCCUGGUCACUCUGCCAGGAAUGUUGUCUGGUCCAGCAGCUUUCUGUGGGUUUCUGUAGGUUCCUUGCUGUCACAUCAUUUCAUGCCUCGAACUGAGCAUAUAAGCUGUUCAGCACAUCUGGAAGGCAGGCAUCACUGUUACAGGCAGGUGGAGCUGGCCUGUAGCUGGUGAUGGACUGGAUGCCUUGCCACAUGCGCUGAGUGUUGCUGCUGCUGUGGAAGUGGCAGUGAAUUCUCUGGGAGUGUGCACGCUUUGCCUGUCUAAUGGCUCGAGACAGUUUAGCCCGUGCUGUUCUUAGGGCAUCCUUAUCUCCAGUUCUGAAGAGUCUCUGGAUCUUAGCAGCGCACACACCUUUGCGGUCAGCCACGGCUUCUGGUUGGAGUGUGUGAUGAUGGACUUGGAGACAGUCACGUCAUCGAUGCACUUCCUGAUGUAGCCGGUCACUGAUGCCAUGUACUCCUCCAAGUCAAUAGUCUCGCCGUUGGUUGCAGCCUCCGUAAACAUGUCCCAGUCAGUGCACUCAAAACAGUCCUGAAGAGCAGAGAUGGCUCCUGCUGGCCAGGUUUUAAUCUGUUUCAGAAGCGAUUUAGAGCCUCUGACGAGUGGUCUGUAUGCUGGAAUCAACAUAACAGAGAUGUGGUCUGAGUAGCCGAGGUGGGGCUCCCCACGAUACGCGCCGGGAAUGUUUGUGUAAACAAGAUCCAAGAUCAUCCCUCUCGUAGCAAAGUCCACAUGUUGAUGGAAUUUAGGGAGCACUGUUUUGAGAUUUGCAUGAUCUGCGAUGAUAAACAGUCCAUCGGGGUGAACAUUCUGCAGCUCGCUAAUAGCUCCGUAGAGCUCACACAGAGCCUCCUUAGCUUUAGCGCUGGGUGGAAUGUACACUCCGAUAAUGAAAGUAGUGGUGAAUUCCCAGGGUAAAUAAAAAGGUCUGCAUCUAACAGUCACAAACUCCACUAGCGAUGAACAGUAACUAGAGACAAGCACAGAGUCCUUACACCAUUCCGUGUUGAUGUAAACACACACACCACCACCGUGAGUCUUACCACACAGAGCUGCGUUUUUGUCGGCACGAAACACAGUUAGCCCGGCUAGCUGAAUGGCGGCAUCCGGAACUCUGUUGCUGAGCCACGUCUCCAUGAAAACAAAGACACAGCAGUCUCUGUACUCACGCCGUGCAGUUCGCUGGAGUCGGAUGUAGUCCAGUUUAUUAUCCAGGGAGCAGACAUUCGAUAGAUGUAUGGAGGGGAGUGCCGGUUGGCUAGGGUUUGUUUUUAGCCUAGCACAGACACCUGCCCUAUUUCCGCGCUUCCGCUUUCUCGCACACCGCUUCCGUCGACUCUUCUCCUGGCUACCAGCAUCAGGUGAUGCCAAGGGCUUGGGGCCUGGUCUCCGCAGCAAGCCGAGAUCACGAAGCUUUCACGUUGUCUGGUGCACGAUUCCCAUAAUCCAGUAGCGUCUGGCGGUCGUACACAUGAACACCGUUGUAGCUGGUGUCCAUAUGCCGUUAAAGUCGGGCUAUUUCGGGACAAUAGCACCAUUUUUGGUCCGGAGUGGCCGCUGCAUGCUACUGCCGCGCCGCCAUCUUGGGACAAAAAGUGUUGUGUGUUUGUGUGUUUUUUCAGGACCUGUGAAUGCACCUCCCUCCUGCAGCUGUGAUGGAGAACCAGAUGUUUGCUGCUGGUGUCGUUGGCAUCAUCUCCGGUGGCCAGAUAUAAAAGGAACGCAUUUCUACGGGAUUCUAACCUCAGACGUCACUACAUUCUUAAACGCUACUCAGACAGUCGCACAGUUAUGCAUGCAGGGGGAGGAGUCUGACUUGAACAGACGGGUUUCUCUGUUUACAUCAUUAACAAUAUUGAAAAACAAUUAAUAAAAAAAUGUUAAAACUCAAAUUGUGCAGUUAUUGAAAUACAUAAACAGGAAUAUUUUCACAUUUCAUUUGUCCUUUAUUUAUUUUCAUCUAAUCACACACAAUCCUUUAACACUGAAAUAUUUAAUUAAACAUAAUGGGAUUAUGGAGCAUUGAGAUAAGAGGCUGAAAGUCACAUGGUGUAAAAACUGAUUAAACAAUGUGUAAAGAAAGAGAAUUCUUCAUGGUUUUAUUUAUUUAUUAGCAUUGUUUUGGAAAAAAAGAUUAAAUUAGUCUGAACUAGUCUGCACAGACACACACACAAACAAGAAGAAUGUUUAAUUACUUCACAGCAGGCAAACAAAAUAAAAUCCACGCUUUCUUACUCUACUCAAAAGCCCCAAAUUGGAGCAGCAAUGAAGUCAUGGAGCGCCAACCAAAAAAUCAAACCAAAAAGUGUGGUUACUGUGGCAACCAGGCUUAUGGUCGCUCUGAGAUAUUGCCCUGCAAAAAGCAUACAAUGUGCCAAAUACGGAAAGUGCAACCACUUUGCCAAAGUUUGUCGCUCUGCUUAUAAAAAGCAUGUCCACAUAGUAAACAAAAAGGAGACUUGCUAUAUUAAUGAUGACGACUUUUUGUUGAUACAGUCUCACAGAAACCAUGCAUAGCUGACAUGGAACAGGCAUUUGCAAGCAUUCAAAUGGGAAAGAAAAGGCUGAGAUUAGUUUCAAAUUCGAUACUGGACCGCAAGUAAAUGUUAUUCCAACACACACAUUUGACAAGCUCAAGCUAGUUACUUUAAUGUUUGGAUGGCCGUUCAGGGUAUUGGGCAAUAAAGUUGACAGAAGAAUCCUCCAAUCUGACAACAUUUAACACCAUAUUUGGUCACUGCAUGUUUUGUUGGCUUCAAUUUGGCGUAAAUUCUAACACAAAAUCGAUGAGACCUAUGAAGGUCUUUCUGGCAUAACAGCAAUUGUCGAUGACAUUCUGGUCUACAGACAUACCCAAAAAGAGCAGAAUAACAACCUGCAUGCCAUGCUGCAAAGAUCUCGUAAGAAAGGAGUGAAACUGAACCCAGAGAAAAGCACUGUAAGCACCACUGAAGUUCACUACUUUGGACACUGCUUAUCUGCAGAUGGAAUUAAAAAAGGUUUCAGCAAUUGAGCAUAUAGAGCCCCCAAAAAACAAAGUGGACCUUGAAACAGUGCUGGGAAUGGUGAACUACCUGUCCAAGUUUGCGCCCUUUAUGUUGGAGAUCAAUGCACCACUCAAGCAGUCCAGUGAGUUCAUAUGGGAUUCACAGCACGACACUGCAUUCUGCAAAAUGAAAGAUAUAAUAACUAGAGAACCCUGUCCAGUGCUGGCGUACUAUGACCCACAGAAAGAACUUUACCUUCAAGUAGAUACAUCCAAAUAUAGUCUUGGAGCAGUUCUCUUGCAAGACAAUAAGCCACUCAGUUAAGCAUCAAGGACCCUGAAUGAAUCUGAGGUGAGCUAUGCUCAAAUAGAGAAGGAACUCUAUGCAGUCUAGUUUGGUCGCAAGCAUAUCUGUUUUCACCAAUAUGUCUAUGGACGCAGUAUCAUAGUGGAGUCUGAUCACAAGACACUUGAAUCAGAGAUGAAAAAACCCUUCUGCGUCUGCAGAGAAUGAUUCUCCAAUUCCAGAAAUACAACAUCACCUUCACACACCAUCAAGAAGGUCCAUAACAACAAUUAAAUUAAAUUAAAUUAAAUUUAUUUAAAUAGUGCCUUUUACAAUGGACAUUCUCUCAAAGCAGCUUUACAAAAGAAGAGUAACAGAGAAAGAAGAGAAAAAAAUAAUAAUAAAUUAUUAAAUUAAAUAUUAAACUAUUUUAUCCCUAAUGAGCAAGCCUGUGGUGACAGUGGCAAGGAAAAACUCCCUGAGAUGAUAUAAGGGAAGAAAUCUUGAGAGGAACCAGGCUCAGAAGAGAACCCAUCCUCUUUUGGGUGACACUGGGCAGUAAAUAAUGUAACUGUAGCUGAUUAAUGUCCUUUGUAUAACAGCAAUCAAUGGCCCAUGAGGAACUACUAGGUCAGUGUAGUUUCUGAUUAUAGGCAAGAAGUGAAUUAAUUAUUAUUUUAUAAUAAUUAAUUAAUUAUUAUCUAAGUUAAUUAUAGGCACUAAAUCCAUGCUGUCACAAGCUGACAGAUGUAAUGGCAGAUCUCUGACGAUGUGGAAGUUCCGUGGUUCUGUCUUUGGCUGUCUCCUGGGUCACAGGCUGUCCCCAGAGAUCCAUCCACAGCAUCAGUGAGCACCACCACCCGACGAGACUCCGACCAGGGGUAGAGGCAGUGGUCACAAUGGAAACUCAGAACACUGGGAGCUCAGGAGUGGGAUGUAUAGCUUAACAGAAAAAGGCAGAGAGAGAGAAAUAGAAAGAUAUUAAACAGAUCACGACAAUCUCAGCGAAGGUGUGGACCUGCAAGUUCACAUGGUGCACAAGAGCUUACCAGUCAACGACACAAAACUGCAACAAAUCUGUGCUGAGACUGAGAUUGACAGCCAACUGAGCAAACUCAGAAAGGUAAUACUGGAUGUAUGGCCUGAGGAGAUAAGAAAAUGGCCUGCCAGAUUCCUAGAAUUUCCGAGAUGAACUCUCAGCAACCAAUGGAAUCAUUCAAAGGUGAGAAAAUAGUCAUACCCACCUCACUCAGAGAAGAGAUGCUCUGACACAUUCACUUUGGUCAUAUGGGCAUAGAGAAACAGCAGGUACAAGAUGUAUUAUUCUGGCCAGGUAUGUGUAAAUGGAUUGAGCACCCGAUAGAAAGAUGCGGUACUUGCCAAGAAAGACAUUAUUCAAGUGCCAAAGAGCCCCUGAUCCCUUAUGAGGUACCAACCAGACCAUGGCAAGUGGUAGCUUCAGACCUAUCUGGAACAGCAAAGAAUCCAUGAUCACUGUGGACUACUUUAGCCACUUCUCUGAAUUAUCUUCACAAGACAUGGCAUCCCAGAGAAAUUUGUCUCUGACAAUGGCCCACAAUAUCGACGCAAGGAAUUUGAGAACUUUGCGACAGCAUGGGGUUUCACACACAACACCACAAGCUCCUAUUACCCCCAGAGCAACGGUCUGGCUGAGAAGACCAUGCAAAUAACGAAGGCAAUUCUCGCCAAAGCCAAGAUGGACAGAAAAGAUCCCUACCUCAGUCUGCUAGAGUAUAGGAACACACCUGUUGACAACUUCAAGUCACCUGCCCAGCUUCUUUUGAGCUGCAGGCUAGGAUCUAUCUUGCCAAUCACCAACAAGUAGCUCAUGCCUGAAGUCAUCAAUUAUGCAGAGACACACUUCCAGCAUGUAAAGAAACAGCAGCAGCAGAAAAGGUUUUAUGAUUGAUCUGCUCAUCCACUGUCACAGCUUUGCCAAGGACCAUUUGUUCAUAUACAAGAACACAGCCUUUGAAAACCAGCUGAUCCAAGAUGGUGGUGCGGCAGUAGCACGCAGCAGCCACUUCAGAUGAAAAUGGUGCUGUUCCCGUCUUAUAACCCGACUUCUACAGCAUAUUUACACCAGAUACAGCAGUGUCCAUGUGUACGACCACCAGACACUACUAGAAUAUGGAAUUCAUGCUCCAGCCAAUGUGUAUGAUGAUCUGUGUAAAAAAGCUUUGCGAUCACAGCUUGCUGUGGAGACCAGUUAGUUUGGAUCUCCUGCCUUCUUACCGCACGCUGGAGUCUCACAUGUGCCCUUUCCCAGACUUCCUGACUCUUUCUGGACCACUCAUCCACACUAGGGACACACGAGGGUUCACCUGACCAGGGGAAGAGCGGCGGUUGGUAGCUCAGCAUACAUUGGAACGAGGUCAGCCCAGUAGAGGAAUGACAUAGGGAAUUCUUGGCGUAUUCAGCCCAGGGCAGGAACUCACUCCACCUUUGCUGAUAACGGCUGCAGUAAGCAUGGAGAAAUCUCCCAAGCUCCUGGUUUAGGCGUUCCACUUGUCCAUUGGACUGUGGGUGAUAACCAGAACUCAGGCUGACGUUAAUUCCCAGCUGCCGGCAGAACUCUUGCCAGACACAGGACGUGAAUUGUGUUCCACGAUCGGACACAAUGUUUUCCAGCAGGCCAAAAUUUCGGAACUCAUGCUGGAACACCGCCUAAGCAGUCUCCAUGGACAAUGGAAGCCCUUCCAUGGGAACCAGUUUGCAGCCUUUCGAGAACUGGUCGAUAAUGACCAUGACUGUAGUGAAACCAUGGGAUUCUGGAAGGUUAGUCAGGAAGUCUACUGAGAGGUGUGACCAUGGGUGCUGGGGAAUAGGUAAUGGCUCAAGGAGGCCCUCAGGUAGCUGGAGGCUGGUACGUGUUUGAGCAUAUACGGCGCAGGAACGGACGAACUCUUCAACGUCCCGGGAAAGGGAUGACCACCAGAAUCUUUGCCUCAGUAACCGCAUCGUCCCCUGUAUACCUGGGUGCCUGGUGCUGGGGCUUUCAUGAGCCCAUUGGAUCACACGAGUACGAAGAGCCAUGGGAAUGAAUAUUUUGGCUGGUGGACAGUUGGGCGGUGGUGUCUCUGAGCUUUGGGCCUGUUCUAUCUCCUGUAUUAUACUCUAUUGAACAGGGGCUAUGAGGACUGAUGGAGGGAGGAUAGUUUCAGGGUCAGUGGGUUGGUCUGUAGCGUCAUGGACCCUGGAGAGAACAUUAGCUUUACCGUUUUUAGAGCCUGGUCAGUAGGUGACAGAAAACUUGAAUCGGGAGAAGAACAGUGCCCACCUGGCCUGAUGAGGGUUAAGCCACUUGGCUUCUCUGAGAUAUGCAAGGUUGCGAUGGUCCGUGAUUAUAAGGAAUGGGUGGUUGGCUCCCUCAAGCCAGUGCCUCCACUCCUCUAGGGCAGAUUUCAUAUACAGCAGUUCACGAUUACCCAUGUCAUAGUUCACCUCGGUGGGUGUGAGCUUACGUGAAAAGAAUGCACAUGGGUGUACUUUUCCUGAACAGGGUUGUCGUUGGGAUAGAACUGCCCCAAUCCCACUGCUGGAGGCAUCUACCUCUACUAUGAAAGGCAGAUCAGGUCUGGGGUGGCAGAGGAUGGGAGCUUAGGUGAAGCUCUGUUUUAGGCGAUGGAAGGCUUGUUCGGCCUGAUCAUUCCACUUGAGGUGGCAUGGUUUCCCUCUUAACAGAGAUGUGAGGGGGCUUGCAAUGCUGCUGUAGUUUCAUAUAAAUCCCCGCCCCGAGAUAUGACUUACCCCAGGAAAGUCACAGAUGGGCAGUGAAACUCACAUUUCUCCAGCUUGACGUAUAAGUGAUGGUCAACCAGAUGGAGAACAGGUCUAACAUGAGUGAUAUGCAGUUCCAGGUUGGGGGAGUAGAUCAAGAUAUCAUCUAUGUAAGCCAUGACGUAAUGGUGCAGCAUGUCUCUGAAGACCUCGUUGAUGAGGGACUGGAACAUGGCAGGAGUGUUUGUGAGACCGUAAGGCAUUACCAGAUAUUCAUAGUGUCCAUGGGUGGUGUGGAAAGCCGUCUUCCAUUCAUCCCCCUCUCUGAUCCGUAUCAAAUUAUAGGUGCUACGAAGGUCCAGCUUAGUGAAGAAGCUCCCUGAAGUUGUUCAAGGGCUGCAGGCACCAGUGUUAAUGGAUAGGGGUAGGGAACUGUGACAGGGUUCAAUCCACGGUAAUCUAUGCAGGGUCUGAGGCCUCUAUCUUUUUUUUUGACAAAGAAGAACCCUGUGCCGGCGGGAGAUGUGGAAGGAUGGAUAUAACCUGCAUUGAGAGCUUUUUGGAUAUACUCCUCCAUGGCUUGUUUUUCAGGUAUGGAGAGAGAAUAAAUUUUGUUCUUGGGAGGCAUGGCAUUGGGGAAGAGUUCCAUGGCGCAAUCCCAGGGUUCAUGCUAAGGUAGCUUGGUGGCUUUUUCUUUGCUGAACACCUCUCAGAGAUCAGAGUAUUCCCUGGGGAGUGUAGUCAUGGCAACAGCGGGUGGGUUCUCUAUGGAGGUAGAUCUGCACAGAAGUGGAGGGUGAGACAAAAAGCAGUUCUCCAUACAGUGUGCUGACCAUUUCUGAAUGUCCCCCUCUCUCGAGGAGAUCAGCGGGUCAUGGUGUUGUGACCAGGGAAGCCCCAGAAUGAUGGGAUUCGAUGGAGAGGUGAUGAAGAAGAACGAAAUCGCUUCAUGGUGGAAUAAUCCAAUCCACAAAGACACAGAAGUAGUCUGGUAGUGGUUCAGACCCUCUCCAAUCAGCUGGUCAUUAAUGGCAGUGAUUUCAAUGGUGGUGUGCAGGGAAUGAUGGGGAUAUGGAAUUCUUUAACCAGGUUAGGGUCUAUGAGAUUUACGGCGGAGCCAGAGUCAAUUAAAGCUGUGGCAUAGAAGCAGGAAUCACUGACAGACAAACAAACAGGAAGUGAAACCUUGCAUGACAGAGUUCGGGUUUCUACCUUGGCAGUGGUUGGUUUUUCAGGGCAUAAAUACACCCUGUCAGCAACCCACACAUUCCACUAAAUAAAA
Molecule: long non-coding RNA, 10614 nt
Organism: Hemibagrus wyckioides
Lineage: Eukaryota; Metazoa; Chordata; Actinopteri; Siluriformes; Bagridae
Exons: 3
Source: RefSeq, a predicted model, not a curated record